RNAcentral lists this signal recognition particle RNA (300 nucleotides) under Saimiri boliviensis boliviensis (Bolivian squirrel monkey). RNAcentral's name for it is "Metazoan signal recognition particle RNA (ENSSBOG00000015997.1)". It matches the Rfam family "Metazoan signal recognition particle RNA". Rfam says of the family: The signal recognition particle (SRP) is a universally conserved ribonucleoprotein. It is involved in the co-translational targeting of proteins to membranes. The record is from RNAcentral. Lineage: Eukaryota; Metazoa; Chordata; Mammalia; Primates; Cebidae.
GCUGUGCAUUGUGGCGCAUGCCUAUAGUCCCAGCUACUCGGGAGGCUGAGGCUGGAGGAUCGCUUGAGCCCAGGAGUUCUGGGCUGUCGUGCGCUAUGCCGAUCGGGUGUCCGCACUAAGUUCAGCAUUAACAUGGUGACCUCCUGGGAAACGGGUGACCGCCAGGUAGCCUAAGGAGAGGUAAACCAGCCCAGGUCAGAAACGGAGCAGGUUAAAACUCCUGUGCUGAUCAGUAAUGGGAUCGUGCCUCUGAAUAGCCACUGCACUCCAGCCUGGGCAACAUAGAGAGACUCCAUCUCU